ACUCCUACGGGAGGCAGCAGUGGGGAAUUUUGGACAAUGGGCGAAAGCCUGAUCCAGCCAUUCCGCGUGAGUGAAGAAGGCCUUCGGGUUGUAAAGCUCUUUCGCAAGGGAAGAAAACUUAUAUUCUAAUAAAGUAUGAGGAUGACGGUACCUUGAUAAGAAGCACCGGCUAACUACGUGCCAGCAGCCGCGGUAAUAC
This 199-nucleotide ribosomal RNA is filed under the name uncultured bacterium. RNAcentral describes it as "partial 16S ribosomal RNA". It matches the Rfam family "Bacterial small subunit ribosomal RNA", at positions 335 to 526 of the family's 1533-position model. The record is from RNAcentral.